RNAcentral lists this ribosomal RNA (267 nucleotides) under unidentified marine bacterioplankton. Its description in RNAcentral is "partial 16S ribosomal RNA". It matches the Rfam family "Bacterial small subunit ribosomal RNA", at positions 70 to 339 of the family's 1533-position model. The record is from RNAcentral.
CAGCACGGGGGCAACCCUGGUGGCGAGUGGCGAACGGGUGAGUAAUACAUCGGAACGUGCCCAGUCGUGGGGGAUAACUACGCGAAAGCGUAGCUAAUACCGCAUACGAUCUAUGGAUGAAAGCGGGGGAUCGCAAGACCUCGCGCGAUUGGAGCGGCCGAUAUCAGAUUAGGUAGUUGGUGGGGUAAAGGCCUACCAAGCCGACGAUCUGUAGCUGGUCUGAGAGGACGACCAGCCACACUGGGACUGAGACACGGCCCAGACUCC